AGGAGAUUGGCUGUUAUAUACUAGGAGUCGGAGAUUGGAUGUUAUAUACUAGGAGAUUGGAUGUUAUAUACUGGGAGAUUGGCUGUUAUAUACUGGGAGAUUGGAUGUUAUAUACUAGGAGAUUGGCUGUUAUACACUAGGAGAUUGGUUGUUAUAUACUUGGAGACUGGCUGUUAUAUACUAGGAGAUUGGCUGUUAUAUACUUGGAGACUGGCUGUUAUAUACUAGGAGAUUGGAUGUUAUAUACUAGGAGAUUGGUUGUUAUAUACUAGGAGAUUGGAUGUUAUAUACUAGGAGAUUGGUUGUUAUAUACUAGGAGAUU
Pelobates cultripes (western spadefoot toad) is the source of this 322-nucleotide non-coding RNA. The record is from the annotation of a GenBank genome assembly. Lineage: Eukaryota; Metazoa; Chordata; Amphibia; Anura; Pelobatidae.